Molecule: unclassified non-coding RNA, 197 nt
Filed under: rhizosphere metagenome
Description: partial ribosomal RNA internal transcribed spacer region
Source: RNAcentral
GUAGGUGAACCUGCGGAAGGAUCAUUACCUAGAGUUGCGGGCUUUGCCUGCCAUCUCUUACCCAUGUCUUUUGAGUACCUUCGUUUCCUCGGCGGGUCCGCCCGCCGAUUGGACAAAACUUAAACCCUUUGUAAUUGAAAUCAGCGUCUGAAAAAACUUAAUAGUUACAACUUUCAACAACGGAUCUCUUGGUUCUG